Molecule: long non-coding RNA, 1801 nt
Organism: Bos taurus (domestic cattle)
Lineage: Eukaryota; Metazoa; Chordata; Mammalia; Artiodactyla; Bovidae
Source: Ensembl
CCCUUUCCCUGGCCCUCCAGCUCUUUCAGAGCAUCUUCUCCGAAGAAAGCUGUUGGAGGGCAGAGUUUUGCUGGCAUCCCUGGGGCCUGGUGAGGAGCUGGUCUGAAGAAACGUUUCUGUGAGCAGACAGCAUCUCUCCAUCUGUCCUGGGGAGAACCUUCCUGACCGCGCCUCAGGGCACCCACUUUCCUACUGGACUUCCCCUGCCAUGCACCCCUCUUCCAGCGUCUCCAUCAGCCCUCAGGAGACCGAGACCCCGCCCCGGGGUCACCAGAGCCGCUCUGCCUCCUCCUCAUUUCACAGGGGGUCCUAGAAGGCUUUGUUGGAGGAAAGGGAAAUCUAAAGCCACUCGAGCUUUCUGGAGACGUGGGAACCCGCAUCCCAGCCCCGUGGACUGUGGUCCUGGAACCUGCGCCCUGCGGACCCCAGUCUGGGGACCCACGUCCUGGCCCCGGGGACCGCGGUCUGGGCCCUGCUGACCUCUGGCCUCCUCUGGUCCAACACGUCAGGGACAGUUGCUCAUCUGGCGGCCGUGAGGCCAACGUUGAUUAUUUCAUCAUUAACCUUCUCACGGGCUUAGACAUUAUGCUUCCACUGUGGUUCCCGUCAGUCUUUUGGAUCAAGUCCCACGUGAUUCCGGGUUUCUCUGGAUGUUUUCUAGGUCUCACCGGGGAUCUGGUGUGACUAGGCCAGAGUGUUGUUAGCAAAAAUCUUAGGCUCUGAAAAUGUGUUUUAAAUUUAUGUGCAGAGCCUAACUCUGGUCUUAAUUUCUCUUAAAAAAAAUCUUUUCUUCAGUCUGAGCAUCUACCUUUUCAACUGCUAUUUACGACUAAAAACAAAACCCGAUCGAUCCGGUCUCCAAGUCCAUAUCAGUUUACCUGAUAAAGAAGCAGAGGUCUGCAGGCCUUGACGUGUCCAUGUGAUCAAAGUUUCCAACUUCACAGUCCGUCCCUCAGCCCAGAGCAGAGCCCAGGAGCCCUGAGGUCAGGGUCAGGGGCUGAGCUGACUUCCCAUUCCCCCAGGAAAGAAACCCUGCGUGAUAAGAUUUGUGGGAAACACUGAAAUCACGGAACUCACGGCCCGCAGUGCUGCUUCUGAGCUGAGACCACGCCUACGGUUUGGAAACCGAGACUCUCUUGCCUAAGCUCAGGUGCGAUGAAAACAGCAAAUUGAAAAUUGUUUCUCUGCCAAAUGUUUAUGUGAUGGUUUUCCUCAUCAUUGUAAAGUGACAAGCACACACCCGAACUGGACACGUGUCACACAGGAGGGCUGUUGAUUUAGAUCCUGAAUUAGAGCGGGUGUUGGGGAAUCAACUAAAUAAAACUCCAGAGUCACCAGCUGGACGCUGAAAGGCUGAUAAGAUCUGUGUCUGAGAGGAUCUGGCACAUCUUAAGGCCUCCGCUUGGAUCCCCUCCUGAUGAAAGCGCAGCUGCCCUGUCUGUGGAGCUGGCCUCCCGCGGCUGCUGCGGUGCUGUUACUGGUUUACGCUCCUGUUGCAGUUUGUUCCUCUCCUGCUGGAAGCUCGGCUUCACGGGAGGCAGGCCCUGCCCUGUGGCUCAGAACCUCUCAGGACCGCGAUGGGCGCGCGGUCCCAGCUCAGGAAAUGUGCUCUGACUCAGCGACUGCACGGGGGACCACGUGUUGAGUCCACGUGUCCGCGCGUCAGUGAUGAGAUGACCGCCACUGUGUCAAAGCACGGGCAAGCAGAGGGAGCUGGGGUGGGUGCCCUCCCGGGAAGGGAGGCGCCCUCAUCCGGCGCCGGCCUGGGAAGCCGAGACCCGGGGCGGGGCUGCGGCCUGCC